This 424-nucleotide unclassified non-coding RNA is filed under the name uncultured Agaricales. Its description in RNAcentral is "sequence contains ITS2". The stretch from base 1 to 154 matches the Rfam family "5.8S ribosomal RNA". Lineage: Eukaryota; Fungi; Basidiomycota; Agaricomycetes; Agaricales. The record is from RNAcentral.
AACUUUCAGCAACGGAUCACUUGGCUCUCGCAUCGAUGAAGAACGCAGCGAAAUGCGAUAAGUAAUGUGAAUUGCAGAACUCAGUGAAUCAUCGAAUCUUUGAACGCACCUUGCGCUCCUUGGUAUUCCGAGGAGCAUGCCUGUUUGAGUGUCAUUAAAUUCUCAACCUUAUCAGUUUAUUUCUGAUAGUGGCUUGGAUGUGGGGGUUUUCUUGCUGGCUGAGGUCAGCUCCCCUUAAAUGCAUUAGCUGGUGCCCCGUGUGGACUGUCUAUUGGUGUGAUAAUUAUCUACGCCAUGGAUGUCUGCAAUCAUAAGGGUUUAGCACUGCUUCUAACCGUCUGUUAAUUCGGACAAUACAUGACAAUUUGACCUCAAAUCAGGUAGGACUACCCGCUGAACUUAAGCAUAUCAAUAAGCGGAGGCU